This is a long non-coding RNA of Puntigrus tetrazona (Sumatra barb), 273 nucleotides long. RefSeq lists it as uncharacterized. The record is from RefSeq and is a predicted model, not a curated record. NCBI's taxonomy places the organism in Eukaryota, Metazoa, Chordata, Actinopteri, Cypriniformes, Cyprinidae. The transcript is spliced from 2 exons.
GACAGCAGUCAGACCUGGCUUUCUCUCAUCCCCAAGUUCCCGAAGUGUCGGGCAUUUUGCAUUCACUGCGAUACGGUUGCGCAUAGGACAGACUUAGGCAGCCGCAUUUGAUGUAUGAAAUCGAGGGAGCGAGAUCGUUCUGGUGGUGGGACGGAGAGGCACAAAGUCUUCCAGAGCAGAACGUUCAACACCGAAUCAAUAUUCAGUCUCUUCCGUCAACAUUUCAUUGCACCCUAUGCAUAAUAUUAAUAAUAAUAAACUGUUUAUUACUGA